AGGACGAACGCUGGCGGCGUGCUUAACACAUGCAAGUCGUGCGGAAAGGCCACUUCGGUGGUACUCGAGCGGCGAACGGGUGAGUAACACGUGAGUAAUCUGCCCUCCACUUUGGGAUAGCCACCGGAAACGGUGAUUAAUACCGGAUAUGACCUGAUGCCGCAUGGUGUUGGGUGGAAAGUUUUUCGGUGGGGGAUGUGCUCGCGACCUAUCAGCUUGAUGGUGGGGUAAUGGCCUACCAUGGCUUCGACGGGUAGCCGGCCUGAGAGGGGUGACCGGCCACACGUGGGAC
RNAcentral lists this ribosomal RNA (292 nucleotides) under uncultured soil bacterium. RNAcentral describes it as "partial 16S ribosomal RNA". It matches the Rfam family "Bacterial small subunit ribosomal RNA", at positions 26 to 320 of the family's 1533-position model. The record is from RNAcentral.